CUGUAAGUUCAACGAAUUAACACGGGAAAUGAAACGUCGUAUCAGUGAAGCCGGUGCGUAACGCGAACAAUGUAGCACGAAGCAAGGAAGAAAACUAAUAACAGCAACUAUAAUCGUGAUGCAUUUGGUCAUCCUGGCGCGACGUACCCUACGAAAGGGCUUGGGAAGAAAUGUUCGAAGAAAAAUGUUAAGACGGAAGAAACACGUGCUGUGACGCAGAAUUCAUCCGAAGAAGUAUUACAUUGGUGCUAUUUUGAAACAAGAAGUUGCUUAUUGGUGCUGACUUCCUAGAGUUGAGAAUUUCCACGCUAAGAAAGGAGCCCCUUUAAAAUGACCCAGACAACGUGGUAAAGAUAGAAAAAGCGAUAAUUACAACUGGGAGUAUAAGACGAAGAAACUGUGCUGCAGCAGAUACGAUGUCUGGCAGCAAAUGAGAGAGAAAUUGUCAAUCGAUAAAUAGACGAAUGAAAAAACUAAAAAAUAUGACGAAAAAUGAAUUAUCUCGUCCGGAAGUCCUUAUCAGCGAUUUCCCAGAUGCAUUAACAGACUAGCAAUGGAAUCCAAGACGACUCUGAAUAGAUAAGGACUCUAACCACAUGUAGUGUUUAGGGUGUAACCUUGAGGAAUAGAAUAAAUAAUAAGUUUUACAAUAAUUAUAAAGACGACUAGUCCUAGAAUUGCAGCAAUGACCGAACCAAAUUUAAGAAAACUACUCUAUACAGUAGUAACGACACUUUCUACAAA
RNAcentral lists this long non-coding RNA (744 nucleotides) under Polistes fuscatus (common paper wasp). RNAcentral describes it as "uncharacterized LOC122513367". Lineage: Eukaryota; Metazoa; Arthropoda; Insecta; Hymenoptera; Vespidae. The record is from RNAcentral.